GCUGUAACACAGUUUGCUGAAUGGGAAAUGGUUGACUCAGGUGGGGGAGAGACCUGUGGCUAUUAAAUGACAACUAAUGGCCUUCCCUCCUCGGAACCCCUCCAUCUUCCUCCCAACUUCAGCGUCCUUUAUUAAGCCCUCUUUAGGCCUCUCCAGGGACCAAGGGAAGCUGGGAUGAGAAGGGAUGCAGAGGGGGGCCAGGGUGAUCCCUGGUGGUAAAGCUGGGAGUCACUGUCCUGGGCUCUGCUGGCCCCAGGGCAGGAAUAAGGCAGGAGAUCCCUGGUAAGGUGUCUACAUCUUGUGCUCUGAGGUUGCUAGACAUGGACCAGUUUGGGCAAGGAGGAAGUUUAGUGACUUCGCUUCCAUGACCCACGUGGCUUCUUGGAGCUUGGAGCUUUGGUGAGGAGGCCCUGAGCCAGCAAAUAAACAUUUACUAACUGU
This 441-nucleotide long non-coding RNA is filed under the name Bos taurus (domestic cattle). RNAcentral's name for it is "long non-coding RNA NONBTAT014321". The record is from RNAcentral. Lineage: Eukaryota; Metazoa; Chordata; Mammalia; Artiodactyla; Bovidae.